CUCGGCUGCGGCGGCCCGGGGCGGUGCCUCGCCCUCCGGGGCAGGUUUCCACCGGCUCAGGUACUUCUUCCCUUCCGCUUUCUACGUGACCGGAGUGCCUGGGCCAGUCUUGCCCGAAAUCACUGAAGCUGCAGCUUCUAGCACAAAGUUCCACUGAGGGAUUGCAUCGUGCGUCCUGGAGCCUUGAAGAUUACAGAUUAUUUCCCUGACUGGAAAAAAAAAAAAAAAGCCUAAUCCAAAGUCCCAAAAGACCUAGCUACUAUCCACAGUCAAGGAUGUUACGACUUUUGGCCUAAGGAGGUGAACUACAAGGAUUUGUAGGACUUAGUGCAAAGAAAACCCAAAUUAGUUCUGAACAUUGCUUGGGAUUCCAGCUUUUAUAUCUAGGUUGGUACAAUAUACACAAGAAGGUGUCAGGCCAUUUCAACUUUGUGCCAAAUCCUUCUUAGGUAUUGAGGUGUUCUGCCUCUCUUCCCAUUCAUAAAAUGCAAAUAAAUAUUUUCAUAUGACAGUUCUGCACCUAGAAUAAUAUAUCACAUUCUGGAGUCAAUUGAAAUUUGGAAUGUUAAAAUACUUGGUAAAUUAAACAACAGGAUUUUUUUUGUU
Odocoileus virginianus texanus is the source of this 606-nucleotide non-coding RNA. The record is from RefSeq and is a predicted model, not a curated record. NCBI's taxonomy places the organism in Eukaryota, Metazoa, Chordata, Mammalia, Artiodactyla, Cervidae.